Molecule: long non-coding RNA, 2768 nt
Organism: Hemicordylus capensis (graceful crag lizard)
Lineage: Eukaryota; Metazoa; Chordata; Lepidosauria; Squamata; Cordylidae
Exons: 2
Source: RefSeq, a predicted model, not a curated record
GCGAAAAGGGCGAAGAAGGGGAGCCGAGCUGAAGCGACCGGCUCGGAGAACUUCCCAGGUCCCACGAACGCCGAGCCGGGGCGGAGGAGACGCAGCGAGGAGUUACCACGCCGGGCACGGAAGGAGAGCUCACUCACUCACCCAUCCAGGCCAGCCGAGAGAGUCCGGGGAGGCGCUUCAUCCCAGCCCCACGGCCAGAAAUUUUCUUUCUCCCCCCCCCCCUUCUAUUUAAGGUGCGGGGGGGGACACUCCAGUCCAGCCCUUGCAGCCCAAACUUGCGGGCGGGAGGUUGGGGGUGGAGAUCUGAAGAGAUCCCCAGCAGGCAAAAAGAAAAGCUGGCUGUCUAGAUCGUGUCGCUGGAAGAAUCGGGCCCGGAGAAGUUGCCUUCCUGAUUUCCUGCCUGGCUUUCUCCGGCAGAGAAGCCACCCAACCAAGCCCCCACAAGCAGAUCUUGGGAGUCCCGUACGAUUUGUUUUUUUUUUUUUUAAAGAAGCCCAGCUUCCGAUAACGUGAGAGUGCUGCGUGCGUGUUGUGUGCGUGUGUGUGUUGGGCGGGGGGGAUAAUUGAGAGAGAUCCGGUCCCAGCUUGCCAGAUCGAAAAGGAUCCAGCGAGAGGAGGAUCCAGAGUGGGUGAGAGCCGAGGGCAAGGGAGGACAAGAAAGAAAGAAAGAAAGAAAGAAAGAAAGAAAGAAAGAAAAGCAAACCCACCCAGGGAUCGAACCAUCAACCCAGCACAGCAGCCCCAAACUCCAGCGAUCAACUUCUCUCCCUCUUUCUCGGACACUCUUUCUCAGCCUCGCUUUCCUUCUUCCUUCCAUCCCCCCCUCCCUACCCUGAAGGGACCGCCCAAGCAUGUGGAAUCGGAGAGAAACAACAAACACCUUCGUCUAGCAAGAGAGACACUUCCCUAAAGAAGCAAGCAAACAAGCAAGCAAGCAAGCAAGCAAGCAAACAAACAAACAAACAAACCCAAAACUCCAUUCCACAGAAACACGCAAAGUUGAAGAAACUUUGGAACCGAUUUGUAAAAUUAUGGCGGGGCGGGGGGACGCAUUGGGGUUCGACGACCUGAAAGAACAUAUACCCCCGACUCCGCUCCAUCCUGAAAAUAAGAAUCUGAAUUUUUUUGGCAGUUAGAGAGAGAGAACCUUGAUCCCCUCUGAAUCUGCUUUCUCCCCACAAGUGCGUUUAUACGGAGCCUGAAAUUCUAGCCCGGAAAGGGCCCGUUCUGUCCAAGUUCAUCCACGGGCCCCCACCUGCUUUCCUUACUCCUCUCUUUUCCACCGUCUGACUUAUUUACUUGGUGAUUGAAACGACUCCUUUCCCUUGGUGGUAUCAAUAUUAACAAACUCCCUGAAAAAGCAGGAGAGCUGAUCAGAUACAACUCAUUUCAAUUUCAAAUGAGUCAGAGACGGGGGGAGAGAGAUCUCAGUUGUGAAAUCCUGGUUCCCCCCCACCCCUCUUUUAUUAUUAGAAGAACUAACUUCUACAAUCUUUCCCGAAGUGGAGGAGAGAAACACACCUUAAAACGCUUCCCAAGUGGCAAAUCUGCAAAGCGGUCAUCGGAGUAUCUCUGCCUCCUUCUCUCCCUCCCAGUACUGUUUAGUACAGUAAGGAUUUUGAUCAAAAGACAAACGAAGCUAUCAGUUGGGGCGGAUGUUGAAAAAUGAAGAUAAUAACGCGGGCUUCGGAUGUCAUUAUUUUGCACUGAAUAUUUAAAGACAUCCUUCGGCAGAGAUGGAUCUACUCAGAGCUGGUUAUCAGCCACGUCCGUCCCUCGUAGAGAUCUCGAGUUUUUGUCAAUUGCAGCAACCGACAGAGAAACUUAGGCACCGUCGUUCUCUGGAUAACACUCCAGGAACAGACAAUACGCACCGAAAGCCAUUUACACACAAGUCCAGUUGAUUUUCUGAGACCGGAUUUGUCACUGCCCGAGGUUUAGAGCCUGCUUCCCAAGCGCUUUAAUCUAGUUCUGCGCUGGAAAUUAAUUCGGACUUGCAUACUCAUUAAGGCAGAGUUUUUGUUCUUGCUACUGUUAAUAGGCCAGCUCUGCAUACUUGUCUCCCUUCCUUGCUCAAAAGUUCUCUCCCGUAGAUGCUGCGGUUCAGAUUUCCAGGAUGCCUAAUAUGAUAUAAUUUUUUAUUAUUAUUACCCAUCAUUAAAAUAAGAAAUGUGCUUAAGGCAAAUUCAAGUGGACAAUCAGCUUUUGGAGGAAAGUGAAGAACUUAGUUUUCAUUUCUCUUUUUUUUUUUUUCAUUAGGGAAAGGAAGAAAGGGGGGAAAAGAAAAGAAAAAGAUUAAAACGAGAGAGAGAUUAAAACCGGAAGGGAGAAAGAAAGAAAGAGAAAGAGAAAGAUUAAAACAGGAAGGGGAGAAGGAAGGAAAAGAAAGAGAGGAAGGAAGGAAGGAAGGAAAGAAAGAUUAAAACAGGAAGGGGGAAAGGAAGGGAAAGAAAGAAAGAAAGAAAGAUUAAAACAGGAAGGGGAAAAGGAAGAGAAAGAAAAAGAAAGAAAGAAAGAUUGAUUAAAACAGGAGGGUGAAAGGAAGAAAAAAGAAAGAGAGAAAGAAAGAAAGAUUGAUUAAAACAGGAGGGUGAAAGGAAGGAAAAAGAAAGAAAGAAAGAAAGAAAGAAAGAAAGAAAGAAAGAAAGAAAGAAAGAAAGAAAGCCUCCCGUUUAAAGUAAGAUGAUACUCCUGUGUGCACUUACUUGGGAGAAAUCCCCCUUGCAUUUCCUGCGACUAACUUCUGAGUAAACACGCCUUGGAUCCGA